GAUAGUUCCGUAGGAUCGAACGAGGUAGGAAGUAGGAUCCGGGGUGUAACCGUAGUUAUGGGGUGGAAAGGGUACGUGGGUGGAUGGGUAAGGAAGGGGUGAAAUGUUGCAGCUUAACUGUAAAAUUGCCGUUGAAACUGCCGGUCUUGAGUGCAAAUGAGGUAGGCGGAAGGCGUUGUGUAGCGGUGAAAUGCUUAGAUAUGACGCAGAACUCCGAUUGCGAAGGCAGCUUACUGGGAUGCAACUGACACUGAGGCACGAAAGCGUGGGUAUCAAACAGGAUUUGAUACCCCAGUAGUC
This 300-nucleotide ribosomal RNA is filed under the name uncultured Rhizobium sp. RNAcentral describes it as "bacterial SSU rRNA". It matches the Rfam family "Bacterial small subunit ribosomal RNA", at positions 496 to 795 of the family's 1533-position model. The record is from RNAcentral. Lineage: Bacteria; Pseudomonadati; Pseudomonadota; Alphaproteobacteria; Hyphomicrobiales; Rhizobiaceae.